Rana temporaria (common frog) is the source of this 75-nucleotide small nucleolar RNA. RefSeq annotates it as small nucleolar RNA snR60/Z15/Z230/Z193/J17. The transcript has a single exon. The record is from RefSeq and is a predicted model, not a curated record. NCBI's taxonomy places the organism in Eukaryota, Metazoa, Chordata, Amphibia, Anura, Ranidae.
CAGGUUAACAUGAUGAUUUUAUAGUUCAUCAGACUGACUGUGGUGAUCACCUUUCGCUCCUAUCUGAUUAAUACU